GGGGGUGUGGCUCAGCGGUAGAGCGCUCACCUAACAUGGGGGCAGUGCUGGGUUCGAUCCUCAGCACCACAU
Molecule: transfer RNA, 72 nt
Filed under: Ictidomys tridecemlineatus (thirteen-lined ground squirrel)
Lineage: Eukaryota; Metazoa; Chordata; Mammalia; Rodentia; Sciuridae
Description: Spermophilus tridecemlineatus (thirteen-lined ground squirrel) tRNA
Rfam family: tRNA
About the family: Transfer RNA (tRNA) molecules are approximately 80 nucleotides in length. Their secondary structure includes four short double-helical elements and three loops (D, anti-codon, and T loops).
Source: Rfam by way of RNAcentral